This 468-nucleotide ribosomal RNA is filed under the name uncultured bacterium. RNAcentral's name for it is "partial 16S ribosomal RNA". It matches the Rfam family "Bacterial small subunit ribosomal RNA", at positions 28 to 507 of the family's 1533-position model. The record is from RNAcentral.
GACGAACGCUGGCGGCGUGCUUAACACAUGCAAGUCGAACGGAAAGGCCCUGCUUUUGUGGGGUGCUCGAGUGGCGAACGGGUGAGUAACACGUGAGUAACCUGCCCUUGACUUUGGGAUAACUUCAGGAAACUGGGGCUAAUACCGGAUAGGAGCUCCUGCUGCAUGGUGGGGGUUGGAAAGUUUCGGCGGUUGGGGAUGGACUCGCGGCUUAUCAGCUUGUUGGUGGGGUAGUGGCUUACCAAGGCUUUGACGGGUAGCCGGCCUGAGAGGGUGACCGGCCACAUGAGGACUGAGAUACGGACCAGACUCCUACGGGAGGCAGCAGUGGGGAAUAUUGCACAAUGGGCGGAAGCCUGAUGCAGCAACGCCGCGUGCGGGAUGACGGCCUUCGGGUUGUAAACCGCUUUCGCCUGUGACGAAGCGUGAGUGACGGUAAUGGGUAAAGAAGCACCGGCUAACUACGUG